Molecule: ribosomal RNA, 580 nt
Filed under: Trichoderma harzianum
Lineage: Eukaryota; Fungi; Ascomycota; Sordariomycetes; Hypocreales; Hypocreaceae
Description: eukaryotic LSU rRNA
Rfam family: Eukaryotic large subunit ribosomal RNA
Source: RNAcentral
UUGACCUCGGAUCAGGUAGGAAUACCCGCUGAACUUAAGCAUAUCAAUAAGCGGAGGAAAAGAAACCAACAGGGAUUGCCCCAGUAACGGCGAGUGAAGCGGCAACAGCUCAAAUUUGAAAUCUGGUCCCUAGGGCCCGAGUUGUAAUUUGUAGAGGAUGCUUUUGGUGAGGUGCCGCCCGAGUUCCCUGGAACGGGACGCCACAGAGGGUGAGAGCCCCGUCUGGCUGGCCGCCGAGCCUCUGUAAAGCUCCUUCGACGAGUCGAGUAGUUUGGGAAUGCUGCUCAAAAUGGGAGGUAUAUGUCUUCUAAAGCUAAAUAUUGGCCAGAGACCGAUAGCGCACAAGUAGAGUGAUCGAAAGAUGAAAAGCACCUUGAAAAGAGGGUUAAAUAGUACGUGAAAUUGUUGAAAGGGAAGCGCUUGUGACCAGACUUGGGCGCGGCGGAUCAUCCGGGGUUCUCUCCGGUGCACUUCGCCGCGUCUAGGCCAGCAUCAGUUCGUCGCGGGGGAAAAAGGCUUCGGGAACGUGGCUCCUCCGGGAGUGUUAUAGCCCGUUGCAUAAUACCCUGCGGUGGACUGA